AAAAAACAUUUGAUUAAGGAUUGCUGUGAAUCAUAAAGUUGCACACAAAGUUGCUGAGAGAGCGAGCAAGUUAACAAAGUUGCUCAAUUAUUAUUUUUGUGUUAAAUUGAUUUGAAUAUGGUUUCUGAACUGAGAAUUUUUUUUCUUUCCUUGUUUAUUUUUAUCCAAGGAAGAAGGGAAAACCAAUCAAAUAUGUUAAGAAUGCAGAGUUAGAAGCUUUCAAUAUGUUCAUGUAAUAAUUUUUCUCGUCAUCCAUUCUUUUCUCUUCUGUGCAGGUUUUUCAUUUGAGUUUGUGAUUUUGUUUGGUUACUGGUUUACGGACUUUCUGUAGAGAUAGAUAGUUUGAUAGUCCCAAUUCAUUAAGUACUUGAGCUUGUGUGCUAUUGGUUGACUAGUACAAUUCGUCUGUUCUGUAAUAAUUUGAUGAUUUGGCACUUGGUUCCUUUUGGUAUAUGCGUCUCUUGUACUCAAUUUCAGUUGUUUAGCACUUCUCGUACUAAAUUCGAUGAUCAAGUAUUAUCACCAGGGACGGAUCUAGGAAGAACUCGCGCCUCAACCAUAAGGGCAAAGCUACAAUUAAUUAAACUUAUAUAACAGAAAUAUUAAAGCACUUAAUUGGGGCAAGUACUCCCACUGCCCCCACUGUCUUAUUGUUGCAAGUAUCUGAAUAUAUCUGCUAAGAUAAUGAAUUUAGUUACUUCAUAGUUCAUAUUUAUAUUUGUUAUGACAUUCUUUCCAAUAUUUAUGCUCUAAUUGUGAACCUGAACAUUUUUCUUCUCACAGAGAGAGAAAUUUCUUCAAAGCGCUGAUGUCAUAUGAUGUACUUGUGUUGGUACUGGAGAUCCUAGAUGGCAUAAUUUUCGACCGCAGCAGGUCCUAAUUGACAAGUCAAUGCAAUCAACUGAACCAGAGUGUCUGAUUCCAUUAAUUCUUGGAGUAAAGUAGGUUGUUCUUGUUGGUCACCGUUGCCAACUUGGUCCUGUGUCAUUAUGUGCAAAAAGCAGCUCACUCUGGACUAGCACAGUCUUUGUUUGAGCGUCUGGUGUAAAAUCAAUCAGAUUGGAGGUGCAAUACCAGAAGCAUCCAUCCCUUUCUGAAUUCUCAUUGAAUAGCUUCUAUGAACCCUUCAGAAUCGAGUUACAAUAAAUGAAAGGCAAUCGACAAGCAUUAGUUUUCCUUGGCCUGUGCCAAAUCAGCCAGUGUUCUUUUACAUGCAGAGACGUGUGAAUCCAUCAAAUAUGUUCAUACACAGACCACACAAAGAUGCAAUUUAUGGAUCCCACAUGAUGAAAAGAAGAUGGAUAAUUCAAUUCACAAAGUAAACAACACACGUUCGGGAAGUGAUGAGCGAUGUGAGAGCUGUAGCUAGCGUCAUCUUGUGAUUUGGUUCUUUGUAUUUGCAGCAUCUACUCAAUAUAUAAAAUCCCCGUCUUUUUCUACAAAUUAGGCACUCGUGUGGGUGUGUCCUCUUGUUUCUUCGACUGUCCUUUCCGUGAAUUUCAUACUAUAUCCUCUCUGUAUCGAAUCAAACCCAUGUUGCUCUUGUUUGUUGUCUU
Molecule: long non-coding RNA, 1556 nt
Organism: Daucus carota subsp. sativus
Lineage: Eukaryota; Viridiplantae; Streptophyta; Magnoliopsida; Apiales; Apiaceae
Exons: 5
Source: RefSeq, a predicted model, not a curated record